GACGAACGCUGGCGGCGUGCUUAACACAUGCAAGUCGAACGGAAAGGCCCUGCUUUUGUGGGGUGCUCGAGUGGCGAACGGGUGAGUAACACGUGAGUAACCUGCCCUUGACUUUGGGAUAACUUCAGGAAACUGGGGCUAAUACCGGAUAGGAGCUCCUGCUGCAUGGUGGUGGUUGGAAAGUUUCGGCGGUUGGGGAUGGACUCGCGGCUUAUCAGCUUGUUGGUGGGGUAGGGGCUUACCAAGGCUUUGACGGGUAGCCGGCCUGAGAGGGUGACCGGCCACAUUGGGCCUGCGAUACGGCCCAGACUCCUACGGGAGGCAGCAGUGGGGAAUAUUGCACAAUGGGCGGAAGCCUGAUGCAGCAACGCCGCGUGCGGGAUGACGGCCUUCGGGUUGUAAACCGCUUUCGCCUGUGACGAAGCGUGAGUGACGGUAAUGGGUAAAGAAGCACCGGCUAACUACGUG
RNAcentral lists this ribosomal RNA (468 nucleotides) under uncultured bacterium. Its description in RNAcentral is "partial 16S ribosomal RNA". It matches the Rfam family "Bacterial small subunit ribosomal RNA", at positions 28 to 507 of the family's 1533-position model. The record is from RNAcentral.